Molecule: long non-coding RNA, 331 nt
Organism: Oreochromis aureus
Lineage: Eukaryota; Metazoa; Chordata; Actinopteri; Cichliformes; Cichlidae
Exons: 3
Source: RefSeq, a predicted model, not a curated record
ACAUCCACACCUCCACCUACAUCACUCUCUCCUGCGGUUCUCUCUGUGUCGUCAUUUGUUGGAUCAUUCUGUUUUGUGGUUCUACUGGUGUUACUGGUUCUGCUGGUGAGACGAUGUGUUCACAGGAAACCUGAAGAGAGUGAAGCAGCUGCAGUUGAUCCAUCACAGAGAACUGAAUAUGUCAGUUAUUGACUAAAAACCAUCAGAACAUGGUCCAGACUUUAAACCAGAGCCAGACAUUGUCUACUCUUCACUGAAGUAGUCCACCAGUCCAACCACUGAUGUCCAGCUGCUGGUCUCUAACUGGUCCCCCCAGCACCUCAGACCAGAG